Molecule: ribosomal RNA, 253 nt
Filed under: uncultured bacterium
Lineage: Bacteria
Description: partial 16S ribosomal RNA
Rfam family: Bacterial small subunit ribosomal RNA
Source: RNAcentral
UACGUAGGGGGCGAGCGUUGUCCGGAUUUAUUGGGCGUAAAGAGCGUGUAGGCGGUUCGGUAAGUCUGUCGUGAAAUCCUGAGGCUCAACCUCGGGCGUGCGAUGGAUACUGCCGGGCUAGAGGAUGGUAGAGGCGAGUGGAAUUCCUGGUGUAGCGGUGGAAUGCGCAGAUAUCAGGAGGAACACCUAAGGCGAAGGCAGCUCGCUGGAACGGUACUGACGCUGAGACGCGAAAGCGUGGGGAGCGAACAGG